GUCUACUGCCAUACCACCCUGAACAUGCUUGAUCUUGUCUGAUCUCAGAAGCUAAGCCAGAUCAGGCCUAGUUAGUACUUGGAUGAGAGACUACAUGGGAAUACCAGGUGCUGUAGAUA
This 119-nucleotide ribosomal RNA is filed under the name Microcebus murinus (gray mouse lemur). The record is from RNAcentral. Lineage: Eukaryota; Metazoa; Chordata; Mammalia; Primates; Cheirogaleidae.